Molecule: transfer RNA, 72 nt
Filed under: Garra flavatra
Lineage: Eukaryota; Metazoa; Chordata; Actinopteri; Cypriniformes; Cyprinidae
Description: tRNA-Thr
Rfam family: tRNA
About the family: Transfer RNA (tRNA) molecules are approximately 80 nucleotides in length. Their secondary structure includes four short double-helical elements and three loops (D, anti-codon, and T loops).
Source: RNAcentral
GCCCUAGUAGUUUAAUUUUAAAACAUCGGUCUUGUAAGCCGAAAAGCGGAGAUUAAAUCCCUCCCUAGAGCA